AUACGUAGGGGGCAAGCGUUAUCCGGAUUUACUGGGUGUAAAGGGAGCGUAGACGGUAAAGCAAGUCUGAAGUGAAAGCUCGGGGCUCAACCCCGGAACUGCUUUGGAAACUGUUUUACUGGAGUGCAGGAGAGGUAAGCGGAAUUCCUAGUGUAGUGGUGAAAUGCGUAGAUAUUAGGAGGAACACCAGAGGAGAAGGCGGCUUACUGGACUGUAACUGACGUUGAGGCUCGAAGGCGUGGGGAGCAAACAGGAUUAGAUACCCUGGUAGUCCACGCGGUAAACGAUGAUCACUAGGUGUCGGCGGCCAUAGGCGGUCGGUGCCGCAGCAAACGCAAUAAGUGAUCCACCUGGGGAGUACGUUCGCAAGAAUGAAACUCAAAUGAAUUGACGGGG
Molecule: ribosomal RNA, 396 nt
Filed under: uncultured bacterium
Lineage: Bacteria
Description: partial 16S ribosomal RNA
Rfam family: Bacterial small subunit ribosomal RNA
Source: RNAcentral